RNAcentral lists this ribosomal RNA (262 nucleotides) under uncultured bacterium. RNAcentral describes it as "partial 16S ribosomal RNA". It matches the Rfam family "Bacterial small subunit ribosomal RNA", at positions 335 to 589 of the family's 1533-position model. The record is from RNAcentral.
GAUCCUACGGGGCGCAGCAGUGGGGAAUAUUGCGCAAUGGGCGAAAGCCUGACGCAGCGACGCCGCGUGAGGGAUGAAGGUCUUCGGAUCGUAAACCUCUGUCAGCAGGGAAGAACGGUCACUGUGUUAAUCAGCAGUGAAUUGACGGUACCUGCAAAGGAAGCACCGGCUAACUCCGUGCCAGGAGCCGCGGUAAUACGGAGGGUGCGAGCGUUAAUCGGAAUUACUGGGCGUAAAGCGCUCGUAGGCGGGAUGUCAAGAC